This 595-nucleotide ribosomal RNA is filed under the name uncultured bacterium. RNAcentral's name for it is "bacterial SSU rRNA". It matches the Rfam family "Bacterial small subunit ribosomal RNA", at positions 939 to 1528 of the family's 1533-position model. The record is from RNAcentral.
AUCGGAUUAAUUCGAUGCAACGCGAAGAACCUUACCAAGGCUUGACAUACACUAGACCGGCCUGGAAACAGGUCCUCUUCUUUGAGGUUGGUGUACAGGUGGUGCAUGGUUGUCGUCAGCUCGUGUCGUGAGAUGUUGGGUUAAGUCCCGCAACGAGCGCAACCCUCGUUCUAUGUUGCCAGCACGUAAUGGUGGGAACUCAUAGGAGACUGCCGGGGUCAACUCGGAGGAAGGUGGGGAUGACGUCAAAUCAUCAUGCCCUUUAUGUCUUGGGCUUCACGCAUGCUACAAUGGCUGGUACAGAGAGAUGCGAGACCGCGAGGUUUUAGCGAAUCCCUUAAAGCCAGUCUCAGUUCGGAUCGUAGUCUGCAAUUCGACUACGUGAAGUCGGAGUCGCUAGUAAUCGCAGAUCAGCAACGCUGCGGUGAAUACGUUCCCGGGCCUUGUACACACCGCCCGUCAAGUCACGAAAGUCGGUAACACCCGAAGCCGGUGGCCCAACCCCCUUGUGGGGAGGGGCCGUCUAAGGUGGGACUGGCAAUUGGGACUAAGUCGUAACAAGGUAGCCGUACCGGAAGGUGCGGCUGGAUCACCU